This is a long non-coding RNA of Telopea speciosissima, 170 nucleotides long. RefSeq lists it as uncharacterized. NCBI's taxonomy places the organism in Eukaryota, Viridiplantae, Streptophyta, Magnoliopsida, Proteales, Proteaceae. The record is from RefSeq and is a predicted model, not a curated record. The transcript has 3 exons.
GAUCGGCGUAGAAAUUUUAAAGAACUUAUGUAGUGGAAAUUUUAUUUUAUUUGGAACUUCAAACCUCUGGGAGAAAUUAUAAAGGCCCAACAAAAAAGAAUAGGUGGAAAAUUUUCUCACCAUAUCAAAUUGCUCAUCCAAAAGUCGACGAACUCUUGGCUGCUCAGUAA